Molecule: ribosomal RNA, 292 nt
Filed under: uncultured bacterium
Lineage: Bacteria
Description: partial 16S ribosomal RNA
Rfam family: Bacterial small subunit ribosomal RNA
Source: RNAcentral
UUGUACCUACGGGGCUCAGCAGUGGGGAAUAUUGCACAAUGGGGGAAACCCUGAUGCAGCGACGCCGCGUGAGCGAUGAAGUAUUUCGGUAUGUAAAGCUCUAUCAGCAGGGAAGAAAAUGACGGUACCUGACUAAGAAGCCCCGGCUAACUACGUGCCAGCAGCCGCGGUAAUACGUAUGGUGCAAGCGUUAUCCGGAUUUACUGGGUGUAAAGGGAGCGUAGGCGGCGCGUUAAGUCUGAUGUGAAAACCCGAGGCUCAACCACGGGAGUGCAUUGGAAACUGGCGGGCU